UUCAUCAGUUGAAGACUGCUACUCUAAAGCAGAGGUACGUUCAUCAGUUGAAGACUGCUACUCUAAAGCAGAGGUACGUUCAUCAGUUGAAGACUGCUACUCUAAAGCAGAGGUACGUUCAUCAGUUGAAGACUGCUACUCUAAAGCAGAGGUACGUUCAUCAGUUGAAGACUGCUACUCUAAAGCAGAGGUACGUUCAUCAGUUGAAGACUGCUACUCUAAAGCAGAGGUACGUUCAUCAGUUGAAGACUGCUACUCUAAAGCAGAGGUACGUUCAUCAGUUGAAGACUGCUACUCUAAAGCAGAGGUACGUUCAUCAGUUGAAGACUGCUACUCUAAAGCAGAGGUACGUUCAUCAGUUGAAGACUGCUACUCUAAAGCAGAGGUACGUUCAUCAGUUGAAGACUGCUACUCUGAAGUAUGGUUAUUUUCAU
Oncorhynchus keta (chum salmon) is the source of this 434-nucleotide long non-coding RNA. RefSeq lists it as uncharacterized. The transcript has 3 exons. NCBI's taxonomy places the organism in Eukaryota, Metazoa, Chordata, Actinopteri, Salmoniformes, Salmonidae. The record is from RefSeq and is a predicted model, not a curated record.